RNAcentral lists this transfer RNA (74 nucleotides) under Candidatus Kerfeldbacteria bacterium. RNAcentral's name for it is "tRNA-Gly". It matches the Rfam family "tRNA". Rfam says of the family: Transfer RNA (tRNA) molecules are approximately 80 nucleotides in length. Their secondary structure includes four short double-helical elements and three loops (D, anti-codon, and T loops). Further hydrogen bonds mediate the characteristic L-shaped molecular structure. tRNAs have two regions of fundamental functional importance: the anti-codon, which is responsible for specific mRNA codon recognition, and the 3' end, to which the tRNAs corresponding amino acid is attached (by aminoacyl-tRNA synthetases). tRNAs cope with the degeneracy of the genetic code in two manners: having more than one tRNA (with a specific anti-codon) for a particular amino acid; and 'wobble' base-pairing, i.e. permitting non-standard base-pairing at the 3rd anti-codon position. The record is from RNAcentral. Lineage: Bacteria; Candidatus Kerfeldiibacteriota.
GCGGGUGUAGUACAAUGGUAGUAUGCGAGCUUCCCAAGCUUGAGACACGAGUUCGAUUCUCGUUACCCGCUCCA